Pipra filicauda (Wire-tailed manakin) is the source of this 2004-nucleotide long non-coding RNA. RefSeq lists it as uncharacterized. The record is from RefSeq and is a predicted model, not a curated record. Lineage: Eukaryota; Metazoa; Chordata; Aves; Passeriformes; Pipridae. The transcript is spliced from 2 exons.
ACUGCUAGCUACUGACUUUGAACAGGCUAUGCUGGUUUUGGCUAGGAUAGAGUUAAUUUUCUUCACAGUGGCUUAUAUGGGCUAUGUUCUGGAUUUGUGCUGGAAACAGUAUUGAUAACACAGGCAUGGUUUUGUUAUUGCUGAGCAGUGCUUACAUGAGACAAGGCCUUUUCCGCUGGUUAUACUGUCACACUGGUGAGAAGACUGAGAGUGGAUGGGAAAUUGGGAGGAGACACAGGCAGGGCAGGUGACCCCAACUGACCAAAGGGAUAUUCCAUACAAUAUGACACCAUGUUCAGUAUAUAAAGCGGCAGGGACAGGAGAAAGGGGAGGAUGUUUGUUUGGAGUGAUGGCAUUCAUUUUCCCAAGCUGCCAUUAAGUGUGAUGGAGCCUUGCUUUCCAGGAGAUGUCUGAACACCUUUCUGCCCAUGAGAAGCAGUGAAUUAAUUCCUUGUUUUGCUUUGUUUCUGUGAGCAGCUUUUGCUUUCCCUAUUAAACUGUCUUUAUCUCAACCCAUGAGUUUUCUAGCUUUUACCUUUCCAGUUCUUACCUUGAUUCACUGGUGGGGGAGUGAGCAAGCAGUUGUGUAUUACUUGGUUGGUGGCUGCAGUUAAACCACAACACAGAUCCGUGACGGUUGAAGUUCUGAUUUUGGUUACCACAUUCAACAUGUGUGGAGCUAGGUUCCCAUCUGUCUCUUCAUAAGACAUACUCUGUAGACAGGAAAAUUCUGUACUUCCACUCUUAACAUCAUUUGAAGGAUUAAUGGAGUGGUUUGCUUGCUGUUUUUCAUAGGUCUGUGUAUAUGUUAUUUCUCUCUAAAAUACUUUACUUCAUUUGUUGCAGAUUCCUGUUGAGUAGCCUGAAGAUCCUUGAUGAAUUGGUGAAACAAUAUUGUAGAAAUAGCUUCAGUUUAAUGGAUAUUUGAAGAAAAGGUGUUCUGUAACUUCGAAAACUAUAUUCAGUACUUCAGUUUGAGUGAUGUAUCUUGAAAAAGAGUCACUUGUAGAAGAGGUUGUGCUUAAUAUAAUACAGAAGCAUUAAUCUUAAAACAUCGUCUUAAAUCUGAAAACCAAACUGUGGAAUCAGUUCCUUUGAGGAACACACCUCUCUGAUACGUCAUGAAACUGGAAUGUAUUUAGUCCCGAGAAGUUACUAGUCUCAGUUAAAGAUACACCAUUUGGCUCCGGAUGUUCUGGCACACAUCCUUGUGGCCAUCUGUUGUGCUGAAUCGUUUGCAAAAGUUUGAAAAGAGUUGGGAUUCGGUUUUGGUGGGGUUUUCUUGGUUUGUUUUAAAAGUUCAAUACUCUAGUUCUGCAGGCUUAUGCUUGUGCCCGCAAUAUAUUUCAAUUGUAUGUGCUUAACAUGUGCUAGGAUUAGGAUGUCAAACUGAAGUACAGAGAAAUGUCUUGCUAAUUAGAUGACAAUUCUUGGUAGCUUCCAAGAUCUAGGCUGGACAACUUACAAACAGCUGUGUGGCAACAUGAUGGUGUUACAUGAAAAAUCUGUCAAACUAAUGGUAUGUUUCAUUAUCUUUUUUAUUUAUUCUUUUUUUUUAUUCCAUAGAUGUUUAACACAACAAUGUAUGCCCAUAUGCAGCUGAACUAUAUGUUUUUACAUUUUAUAAUGAACUUUUUAAUCCAUACCCUGUUUUAGUACUUUCUGUAUAAAUGGGGUGAUAAAUUGAUUUUUAUUGCUUCAGAAGUCAAAGUAUCUGUUUUUUCUGAAAAGAUAUCUGACACCAUGAACUGUUGUCCACCUAAAUAUUACACAUCUCAAAGAAAAAAAAAUAAGCAGACAAAACAGACUCUCUACUAUGGGAAAAAUUCUGACAUUAAUUUUAAUAUUCCUGUCUUUAAGCUGGUUUUAAAUGUGCAGCACCAGGUUUUACAAUACUAAACAUUGUUUGGGGCCAUUUUUUGUUUAACUGCUCUGUAGAGAUGAUCCCAACUGUAAUUUUUAAUGGGAAAAAUAUUAGCAAUUAAAUACACAUUUAAAAAUAAA